CCUACGGGAGGCUGCAGUAGGUAAUUUUCGUCAAUGGGCGCAAGCCUGAACGAGCAAUGCCGCGUGAACGAGGAAGGUCUUCGGAUCGUAAAGUUCUGUUGAAGGGGAAAAAGAGCGGAGAGAGGAAAUGGUCUCCGAUUGAUAUUACCCUUCGAGGAAGUCCCGGCUAACUACGUGCCAGCAGCCGCGGUAAUACGUAGGUGGCGAGCGUUAUUCGGAAUGAUUGGGCGUAAAGGGUGCGUAGGCGGCCUGCUAAGUCUGGAGUGAAAGGUACCGGCUCAACCGGUACAGGCUCUGGAAACUGGCGGGCUAGAGAGCAGGAGAGGGCGGUAGAACUCCAUGUGUAGCGGUAAAAUGCGUAGAUAUAUGGAAGAACACCAGUGGCGAAGGCGGCCGCCUGGCCUGUUACUGACGCUGAGGCACGAAAGCGUGGGGAGCAAAUAGGAUUAGAUACCCUAGUAGUC
This 464-nucleotide ribosomal RNA is filed under the name uncultured bacterium. RNAcentral describes it as "partial 16S ribosomal RNA". It matches the Rfam family "Bacterial small subunit ribosomal RNA", at positions 338 to 795 of the family's 1533-position model. The record is from RNAcentral.